This 351-nucleotide ribosomal RNA is filed under the name uncultured bacterium. RNAcentral's name for it is "bacterial SSU rRNA". It matches the Rfam family "Bacterial small subunit ribosomal RNA", at positions 917 to 1269 of the family's 1533-position model. The record is from RNAcentral.
GGGCCCGCACAAGCGGUGGAGUAUGUGGUUUAAUUCGAUGCAACGCGAAGAACCUUACCAGGGUUUGACAUCCUGCGAAUCUCUUGGAAACGAGAGAGUGCCUUCGGGAACGCAGUGACAGGUGGUGCAUGGCUGUCGUCAGCUCGUGUCGUGAGAUGUUGGGUUAAGUCCCGCAACGAGCGCAACCCACGUCUUUAGUUGCCAGCAUUUAGUUGGGCACUCUAGAGAGACUGCCGGUGAUAAACCGGAGGAAGGUGGGGAUGACGUCAAAUCAUCACGGCCCUUACGUCCUGGGCUACACACGUGCUACAAUGGUCGGUACAGAGAGCAGCCACUACGCGAGUAGGAGCG